GAUGAAGAACGUAGCGAAAUGCGAUAAGUAAUGUGAAUUGCAGAAUUCAGUGAAUCAUCGAACCUUUGAACGCACAUUGCGCCCAUUAGUAUUCUAGUGGGCAUGCCUGUUCGAGCGUCAUUAAGUCCACUUAAGCCCUGCUUAGUGUUGGGAGACUGCUCCAGCGGUGCUACCCUGUAGCUACCCUGCAGCUCCUCAAAGACAGCGGCGGAGUUGUGGUAUCCUCUGAGCUUAGUAACUUGUUCUAGCUUUCGAGUACACCACUUCCCCUGCCGUAAAACCCUUAAUUUUUAAUGGUUGACCUCGGAUCAGGUAGGAAUACCCGCUGAACUUAAGCAUAUCAAUAAGCGGAGGA
RNAcentral lists this unclassified non-coding RNA (355 nucleotides) under soil metagenome. RNAcentral's name for it is "partial contains 5.8S ribosomal RNA, internal transcribed spacer 2, and large subunit ribosomal RNA". The stretch from base 1 to 120 matches the Rfam family "5.8S ribosomal RNA", at positions 35 to 154 of the family's 154-position model. The record is from RNAcentral.